RNAcentral lists this long non-coding RNA (259 nucleotides) under Elaeis guineensis (African oil palm). RNAcentral's name for it is "long non-coding RNA (EGUI_LNC064683)". Lineage: Eukaryota; Viridiplantae; Streptophyta; Magnoliopsida; Arecales; Arecaceae. The record is from RNAcentral.
GGGUGAUCAAUUGGGCUCUGUCUGGGCACAAGUGAUGAAGGUGGACUCUCCCCCUCAGCAUGCUCCUCCUCCUCAUCAUCCUCCUCUUCGACUGUAGCUGCACGGCCCUUGGCCCAAUGGCCAUCCACUCUGACAAACCCCAUGCACCGAAGGGAGUGGUCAUUGUAGGUGUCAGUGUUUGACAAUCUACAAACAACCUCUCCCUCAAAGCUCACUUCAGACUCCCUAAAAAUCACUGUAAGAGCCAUACCAUAUGGCA